CUCCAGGCGGGCGCCCUGGGCCUCAUGGUCCCAGAGGAAGGGCCUCUCCUCCAAGCCAGGUGUCCAGCCCAGAACCAGAGGAAGCCCUCCCAGGGCCCCAGACCCAAGGGAGUGGGUAGAACUGCCCAGAAUGGGGACUGGAGGUGACAAAGUUCUGGAGAGCAACAGCCAGGUGGAGGGGUCAAGGAGCAGGCCCUGAGUCAGUCCUCAGGGAGCCCCCAUGCUGAAGGAGGAAGCGGAGACUCAGGCCCUGGGCGCAGGGCCCCCCAGUCUGAGAGGGGAGGUGGAGAGCCAAGCUUGGCCCUCUGUGGGUCCCUAGUCUGGAGGGGGUGCCAGAGAAGAAGCCUGGACCUUGUCCUCUGGGAACCUCAUCUGAGCUGAGGAAGGGGACACCAAGGCCCUGCCCUCAGGAAAACGUUCUUCCUUGGGAAUGAACGGCAAGCGAGGCCUCUGUGAAGGAGCCAAAGCUGGACCAGAGGGGGGACUCUGGCCCAGGGCUUCGGGAGCUCAGUGACCGAGCUGAGGUCAGGGGCAAGUGGGGGCACCAGCUGCCCUCUGAGAGGACUUCUGGAGUCAGGGCAUGGCUGGGCCACCAAAGAUGGGGCAGUUUGGGAUUUGAGCAGGCGACCUCGCGCUGAGACACAAGGGAGUGAGGGGUUGCUGGUCUGCAGACUAAGGAGGCCUACCAGGUGGAGUGGUGGAAGGUGGCCUCGAGUCCAGGGAGCAGGGGCGGCUCCUCGUUGUGGGGAGGCAGGAUCAGCUUUGAUUGCCCAAAGCCAGCUCUGGUAACAGAACUGUCCUCUAGAGGGUGCCAACAGACCAGGCCAGGUCUGGAUCCUGAGUUGCCCAAGUGCCCACCCCCAUUGUCCUGAGGUCACUCAGCAGGAGAGGCAGGGGCAGCUGCAGCAGAGGGUUUCCCCAUCAGAAGCCUUCCAUAAGGAAGGAACUCUCCCACGGCAGCCCCCCGGGCUGCGGCUCUGCCCCUCUCUCCUCUCCGCAGACUGGAAGGGCUCAGGAAGCUGCGCCCUUCCCUCAGAAAGGGGGAGGUACACCUCUGGACAUGGGGGACCCUGCCAUUAUUCCCUUCCUGGGUGAGCUGUUGGGGUCAGGGGGAGGUAAGUGUCGAGAGUGGAGUGAGGUCUUGUAUGAGGUCAGAGCGCGGGCAGAGUUGGGUUGGGCUGGGAUCAGCCUCGUGAGGGAGGGAACUGGGAUCCGUGUUGGGGUCAGGGACCAAGCCCUGAGCUCAUUGACUGCGCUGGGUGCUGGGGAACCAGAGGUGGAGAAGACACAGUGCCCUCUGUCUCGUGGAAGAGACAGCUGAAAGGCAGGUGACUUAGGAAAUAUGCAGUAAGGUGGAGGGAAUACAGGCAGCAGCUAAGCCAGCCUGGAGGGAGAAAAGAAUCAUCCAGCAGAGAUAAGAUGGGAGCUGAGUCCUCCAAGGUUCACCUCUACAUCCUGUAUGCGGCUGUACAGCCCCAGACUGUCUCCGAUUUUAAACAGACUCUUCUCCAUUACGAACAGCAUGGAACAGACACAAUUGGCUGAAACCCGCUCAGGAGUAAAAAUACAAAUAGAAGUUUUUAAAGAUCAGGAUGAAGAAAGAAAAAUGCCCUAAGAUGUUACAACUUCUCUCAAUUUUCCCCCAGAUGCCCCCCAAAGUGUUAAUGUGUAAAUAACUAAUCAUUUCAGCUAAUUAUUUAUUUCAACCAACCAAUUUAUGUCAACUGUUUGAUUAACUUAUCACAUAAACUGCUUUCAAUCAAAUUGUUUCACA
Molecule: long non-coding RNA, 1774 nt
Organism: Equus caballus (horse)
Lineage: Eukaryota; Metazoa; Chordata; Mammalia; Perissodactyla; Equidae
Source: RefSeq, a predicted model, not a curated record